CUCAGAAAGAUCAUAGAAGGUCUAGGAUGUUUGAAAUCUAUUACAAAAACAAAACAAAACAACCCACACAAAUCCCUCCCCCCCCAAAACAACAACAACAAAAAACCCCAUGAAAAUAUUGGGCCAAAUUUGGAUUUUAGAUUCUCUUUACACUUAACAGGCAUAACCUCAAUAAUUUCUGCCUGUCUCUUCAAUUGUUAAAAGUUCUUAAAGUACUUUGUCCACUUGCCUAUUUGUCAUUUGCCAUUUUUGAGUCGAACUUGUCACUUUUAUUCUAGCUCAAGGAAAUAUUAUUUUCUUCCUUACUGGGGAUGUUGAGGGACCGCUUGGUUGCUAAUUAGAUCUGUAAUCAGUGUCUUUUAGCAAAUUGAAGGAAAGAGAAACAUUAAAAUAAUGAUGAAGGUUUAGCUAAAAGUGCCUGAGUUCAUUUGAAAAUUGUUAUUCUCUAGGAAAACUUUGAGAAGUACUUAUUGAGGAGGCGCAUUUUGUUAUCCAUUUGUUAUACUCUGCUUGUGUUAAGCCUAAAUUGACUGGAUUAAGAACAGAUUUCCAGCUUUGAAAAAGAUGUUAGCAGUUUGCAAAGCAGGGAAGCAAAGUUGGAAAGAAAAUCAUCCAUAGGAGAUAAAAUAUAAUUUGCAGCUCUUAUUUUCCUUUCUGUCCACGAUCAAACUCUAAUGAGUUGACAAUAUGGCUUUUUCGAUCCAGUUCUCAAUUGUUCGGGAUGCCCCUGUGAGGUCACAGCCUGUAUCUUUAUGAUGUUGCUUUGUUGCCAUGGCCAUCUGUCUGCAAUCCUGGACCUGGGAAUUCUGGACCUGGCAUGCCAGGGUCCAAAUGGAAACUUGGUUGUGAGGGUUAUAUAGCUUGUAUUUAGCCACUGAUGAUACUAAGAAACAGCAAAUGUGGCAAGAAAAAUGGUGUGUGAAAAAAAGACAGGAUCACUUGCAGAAACACAUACUCCAAAGUCUACUCCAACAGAAAAGGCCCUCAGCAAUUUGUUACUACUGCGGGGCUUGAAGGAGAUCGGUAUCUCCUGAGAAAUGGUGAUGUUGCAGCUGACUGCACCAGAGGAACUGUAAACAUGGUAGUCAAAAAAGAGUAUUGUCACCUACCACGCAUGUUCAUUGGAGUCUAUGUAAUGGCACCUCUGAAGUAAUAAAAAAUUGAAACAAAAAGCAUAACACACACAUGAUGAAAACAAAGCAUAGAAUAGAUUAUGAAUGACAGUUAGGUUUACUAUCUCCAAUACAUGAUGGAUUUCUUGGUGUAUAAUGAUCUGCAGAUGGCUGCUUAUAAUGCAGGUUAAAUACAACUGGUG
This is a long non-coding RNA of Gallus gallus (chicken), 1315 nucleotides long. NCBI's taxonomy places the organism in Eukaryota, Metazoa, Chordata, Aves, Galliformes, Phasianidae. The record is from Ensembl.